AGUGAACGCUGGCGGUAGGCCUAACACAUGCAAGUCGAACGGCAGCACAGUAAGAGCUUGCUCUUACGGGUGGCGAGUGGCGGACGGGUGAGGAAUACAUCGGAAUCUACUUUUUCGUGGGGGAUAACGUAGGGAAACUUACGCUAAUACCGCAUACGACCUACGGGUGAAAGCAGGGGAUCUUCGGACCUUGCGCGAUUGAAUGAGCCGAUGUCGGAUUCGCUAGUUGGCGGGGUAAAGGCCCACCAAGGCGACGAUCCGUAGCUGGUCUGAGAGGAUGAUCAGCCACACUGGAACUGAGACACGGUCCAGACUCCUACGGGAGGCAGCAGUGGGGAAUAUUGGACAAUGGGCGCAAGCAUGAUCCAGCCAUACCGCGUGGGUGAAGAAGGCCUUCGGGUUGUAAAGCCCUUUUGUUGGGAAAGAAAAGCAGCAGGUUAAUACCCCGCUGUUCUGACGGUACCCAAAGAAUAAGCACCGGCUAACUUCGUG
RNAcentral lists this ribosomal RNA (492 nucleotides) under uncultured bacterium. RNAcentral describes it as "partial 16S ribosomal RNA". It matches the Rfam family "Bacterial small subunit ribosomal RNA", at positions 29 to 507 of the family's 1533-position model. The record is from RNAcentral.